AUUGAACGCUGGCGGCAUGCUUUACACAUGCAAGUCGAACGGCAGCGCGGGCUUCGGCCUGGCGGCGAGUGGCGAACGGGUGAGUAAUACAUCGGAACGUGCCCAGUAGUGGGGGAUAGCUCGGCGAAAGCCGGAUUAAUACCGCAUACGACCUGAGGGUGGAAGCGGGGGAUCUUCGGACCUCGCGCUAUUGGAGCGGCCGAUGGCAGAUUAGCUAGUUGGUGGGGUAAAGGCCUACCAAGGCGACGAUCUGUAGCUGGUCUGAGAGGACGACCAGCCACACUGGGACUGAGACACGGCCCAGACUCCUACGGGAGGCAGCAGUGGGGAAUUUUGGACAAUGGGCGAAAGCCUGAUCCAGCAAUGCCGCGUGCGUGAUGAAGGCCUUCGGGUUGUAAAGCACUUUUGGCGGGAACGAAAAGGACUGUGCCAAUACCACGGUUCGAUGACGGUACCCGCAGAAUAAGCACCGGCUAACUACGUG
This 484-nucleotide ribosomal RNA is filed under the name uncultured bacterium. Its description in RNAcentral is "partial 16S ribosomal RNA". It matches the Rfam family "Bacterial small subunit ribosomal RNA", at positions 29 to 507 of the family's 1533-position model. The record is from RNAcentral.